AGGUGGAGGUGGAGCAGGAGGUGUUUGAGAAGAAUGUGGUGGUGGAGGUGGAACAGGUGGUGUUCGAGGAGGUGGAGGUGGAGGUGGAACAGGCGGUGUUCGAGAUGAAGGUGGUGGAGGAGGUGGAACAGGUGGUGUUCGAGAAGGAGGUGGAGGUGGAACAGGCGGUGUUCUAGAUGGAGGAGGUGGUGGAGGUGGAACUGGCGGUGUUCGAGAUGGAGGAGGUGGCACUGGCAGUGAUCGAGGAGGUGGAGGAGGUGGAACAGGUGGUGUUUGCACCCGCGCAACACUGUGUGAAAAUGUAGGCAUCAAAGACGGGGUGUCUGGAUAUUCCAUCGUUGCACUGUGCUUGUUAUCUAGAAACUGCGGUUGAGACAACGAGACUUCAGGUUCAUUAAGUAGUGUAGAAGGCAGAG
This 416-nucleotide long non-coding RNA is filed under the name Sorghum bicolor (sorghum). Its description in RNAcentral is "long non-coding RNA (SBIC_LNC007477)". Lineage: Eukaryota; Viridiplantae; Streptophyta; Magnoliopsida; Poales; Poaceae. The record is from RNAcentral.